This 692-nucleotide ribosomal RNA is filed under the name uncultured Bacteroidales bacterium. RNAcentral describes it as "bacterial SSU rRNA". It matches the Rfam family "Bacterial small subunit ribosomal RNA", at positions 32 to 715 of the family's 1533-position model. The record is from RNAcentral. Lineage: Bacteria; Pseudomonadati; Bacteroidota; Bacteroidia; Bacteroidales.
AACGCUAGCUACAGGCUUAACACAUGCAAGUCGAGGGGCAGCAUAAAAGUAGCAAUACUUUGGUGGCGACCGGCGCACGGGUGAGUAACGCGUAUGCAACCUACCUAUCAGAGGGGGAUAACCCGGCGAAAGUCGGACUAAUACCGCAUAAAACAGGGGCACCGCAUGGUGAUAUUUGUUAAAGAUUAAUUGCUGAUAGAUGGGCAUGCGUUCCAUUAGGUAGUUGGUGAGGUAACGGCUCACCAAGCCGACGAUGGAUAGGGGAACUGAGAGGUUGGUCCCCCACACUGGUACUGAGACACGGACCAGACUCCUACGGGAGGCAGCAGUGAGGAAUAUUGGUCAAUGGGCGAGAGCCUGAACCAGCCAAGUCGCGUGAAGGAAGAAGGAUCUAUGGUUCGUAAACUUCUUUUGCAGGGGAAUAAAGUGGGGGACGUGUCCUCUUUUGUAUGUACCCUGAGAAUAAGAAUCGGCUAACUCCGUGCCAGCAGCCGCGGUAAUACGGAGGAUCCGAGCGUUAUCCGGAUUUAUUGGGUUUAAAGGGUGCGUAGGUGGUUUAAUAAGUCAGCGGUGAAAGUUUGCAGCUUAACUGUAAAAAUGCCGUUGAAACUGUUAGACUUGAGUGUAAAUGAGGUAGGCGGAAUGCGUGGUGUAGCGGUGAAAUGCUUAGAUAUCACGAAGAACUCCGAUUG